UGGGGAAUCUUCCGCAAUGGACGAAAGUCUGACGGAGCAACGCCGCGUGAGUGAAGACGGCCUUCGGGUUGUAAAGCUCUUUGAUCCGGGACGAAAGAGCCUGAGGUAAAUAGCCUAAGGAAGUGACGGUACCGGAAAAGCAAGCCACGGCUAACUACGUGCCAGCAGCCGCGGUAAUACGUAGGUGGCAAGCGUUGUCCGGAAUUAUUGGGCGUAAAGCGCGCGCAGGCGGCUUCCUAAGUCCAUCUUAAAAGUGCGGGGCUUAACCCCGUGAUGGGAUGGAAACUGGGAAGCUGGAGUAUCGGAGAGGAAAGUGGAAUUCCUAGUGUAGCGGUGAAAUGCGUAGAGAUUAGGAAGAACACCGGUGGCGAAGGCGACUUUCUGGACGAAAACUGACGCUGAUGCGCGAAAGCGUGGGGAGCAAACAGG
RNAcentral lists this ribosomal RNA (429 nucleotides) under Fusobacteriota bacterium. Its description in RNAcentral is "Fusobacteria bacterium partial 16S ribosomal RNA". It matches the Rfam family "Bacterial small subunit ribosomal RNA", at positions 355 to 776 of the family's 1533-position model. The record is from RNAcentral. Lineage: Bacteria; Fusobacteriati; Fusobacteriota.